GAUGAAGAACGUAGCGAAAUGCGAUAAGUAGUGUGAAUUGCAGAAUUCAGUGAAUCAUCGAAUCUUUGAACGCACAUUGCGCCCUGUGGUAUUCCGCAGGGCAUGCCUGUUCGAGCGUCAUUGACACCCUCAAGUUCUGCUUGGUCUUGGGCGUUUGUGCCUGCCGUUGCGCAGGGACUCGCCUCAAACUCAUUGGCAGCCUGCCUUUGCCGGUCUUUGCACAGCACAGUCGUGCCAAAGCCGCGGUGAGCAGGCGCUCCACAAGCCCUUUUCAGCUUGACCUCGGAUCAGGUAGGAAUACCCGCUGAACUUAAGCAUAUCAAUAAGCGGAGGA
RNAcentral lists this unclassified non-coding RNA (334 nucleotides) under soil metagenome. Its description in RNAcentral is "partial contains 5.8S ribosomal RNA, internal transcribed spacer 2, and large subunit ribosomal RNA". The stretch from base 1 to 120 matches the Rfam family "5.8S ribosomal RNA", at positions 35 to 154 of the family's 154-position model. The record is from RNAcentral.